AUGGGGAAGUGGAAUUUUUACAC
This 23-nucleotide non-coding RNA is filed under the name Cricetulus griseus (Chinese hamster). Lineage: Eukaryota; Metazoa; Chordata; Mammalia; Rodentia; Cricetidae. The record is from RNAcentral.